GACGAACGCUGGCGGCGCGCUUAACACAUGCAAGUCGAGCGAUAACCACAGCUUCGGCUGUGGGGAGAGCGGCGAACGGGUGAGUAACACGUGGGUAAUCUGCCCUCGGCACUGGGAUAGCCCGGGGAAACCCGGAUUAAUACCGGAUAGCCUCUCGAGCUUUCGGGCUCGUGAGAAAAGAUGGCUUCGGCUUUCGGCUGAGGAGGAGCCUGCGGCGGAUUAGCUUGUUGGUGAGGUAACGGCCCACCAAGGCGACGAUCCGUAGCUGGUCUGAGAGGACGAUCAGCCACACUGGGACUGAGACACGGCCCAGACUCCUACGGGAGGCAGCAGUGGGGAAUCUUGCGCAAUGGGCGAAAGCCUGACGCAGCGACGCCGCGUGAGGGAAGAAGGCCUUCGGGUUGUAAACCUCUUUCAGGAGGGACGAAGCCACUCGGGUUAAUAGCCCAGAGGGUGACGGUACCUCCAGAAGAAGCCCCGGCUAACUACGUGCCAGCAGCCGCAGUAAUAC
Molecule: ribosomal RNA, 511 nt
Filed under: uncultured bacterium
Lineage: Bacteria
Description: bacterial SSU rRNA
Rfam family: Bacterial small subunit ribosomal RNA
Source: RNAcentral